CCUGCAAUGGCCGAGUGGUUAAGGCGUUGGAGUUGAAAUCCAAUGGUAUCUUCCCGCAUAGGUUCAAACCCUGCUUGCAGCG
This is a non-coding RNA of Phyllopteryx taeniolatus (common seadragon), 82 nucleotides long. NCBI's taxonomy places the organism in Eukaryota, Metazoa, Chordata, Actinopteri, Syngnathiformes, Syngnathidae. The record is from the annotation of a RefSeq genome assembly.